UGGGGAAUUUUGGACAAUGGGCGAAAGCCUGAUCCAGCAAUGCCGCGUGUGUGAAGAAGGCCUUCGGGUUGUAAAGCACUUUUGUCCGGAAAGAAAUCCUUGGCUCUAAUACAGUCGGGGGAUGACGGUACCGGAAGAAUAAGCACCGGCUAACUACGUGCCAGCAGCCGCGGUAAUACGUAGGGUGCAAGCGUUAAUCGGAAUUACUGGGCGUAAAGCGUGCGCAGGCGGUUUGCUAAGACCGAUGUGAAAUCCCCGGGCUCAACCUGGGAACUGCAUUGGUGACUGGCAGGCUAGAGUAUGGCAGAGGGGGGUAGAAUUCCACGUGUAGCAGUGAAAUGCGUAGAGAUGUGGAGGAAUACCGAUGGCGAAGGCAGCCCCCCUGGGCCAAUACUGACGCUCAUGCACGAAAGCGUGGGGAGCAAACAGGAUUAGAUACCCUGGUAGUCCACGCCCUAAACGAUGUCAACUAGUUGUUGGGGAUUCAUUUCCUUAGUAACGUAGCUAACGCGUGAAGUUGACCGCCUGGGGAGUACGGUCGCAAGAUUAAAACUUAAAGGAAUUGACGGGGUCAUAGCUGUUUCCU
RNAcentral lists this ribosomal RNA (586 nucleotides) under uncultured bacterium. Its description in RNAcentral is "partial 16S ribosomal RNA". It matches the Rfam family "Bacterial small subunit ribosomal RNA", at positions 355 to 1375 of the family's 1533-position model. The record is from RNAcentral.